GGGAUCGCAGAUAGAUGCUCACGCCGGAGGUUAUUGCCUGUGCGUAGCAGACACAAAUACUUUCCUAUCGACUCGCGGCCAAAGUCAAAAGCUAAGAAGCGCGUACCGGUAUCCUAUCCUUAGGUCAAGCGGUAACGUGCGGAAGGGGCGUCUGCUAGGUCGCGAGCUACUUGGGUUGCAAGCGAGGUAAGCUAUCCUACAUAAGGCCCUGAAACGGCUCCAACUAGCUAACCAGUGAUGUGCAGAGAUGAGGUUUCAUGGGCUCGCCGCCAAACACAUGCAUUUGCUACGCUGCUAUUUGCUCCGCUAGAUACCCUGCUAGAUGUGCGUCGUUUUGCAUACACGUAUACAUACGUACCUACACGUCCUGAGCUUUAUUAAACCUCAUUGGCUCGUAACUAAGCUGCUGUUGCUGUUGCUCCGGACCGGGAAAAACCGGCGAGACGGCGCUCUGGCUGGGAUUGGGCUUUAGUAGGGUCUGCUUCACGGACCAAGUUGAAUUUCCUUUCUAGCACCGUACAUCCUAAAAUUCC
RNAcentral lists this long non-coding RNA (533 nucleotides) under Volvox carteri. Its description in RNAcentral is "long non-coding RNA (VCAR_LNC003395)". Lineage: Eukaryota; Viridiplantae; Chlorophyta; Chlorophyceae; Chlamydomonadales; Volvocaceae. The record is from RNAcentral.